UACGUAGGAUGCAAGCGUUGUCCGGGUUUAUUGGGUUUAAAGGGUGCGUGGGCGGCCUAUUAAGUUAGUGGUGAAAACGUUCGGCUUAACCGGAUACCCGCCAUUGAUACUGAUAGACUUGAGUGCGACAGAGGGUGUUGGAAUGUGUGGUGUAGCGGUGAAAUGCUUAGAUAUCACGCAGAACACCAAUUGCGAAGGCAGAUGCCUAUGUCGUAACUGACGCUGAGGCACGAAAGCGUGGGGAGCAAAUAGG
RNAcentral lists this ribosomal RNA (253 nucleotides) under uncultured bacterium. RNAcentral's name for it is "partial 16S ribosomal RNA". It matches the Rfam family "Bacterial small subunit ribosomal RNA", at positions 524 to 776 of the family's 1533-position model. The record is from RNAcentral.